This 581-nucleotide ribosomal RNA is filed under the name uncultured bacterium. RNAcentral describes it as "bacterial SSU rRNA". It matches the Rfam family "Bacterial small subunit ribosomal RNA", at positions 102 to 679 of the family's 1533-position model. The record is from RNAcentral.
ACGGGUGAGUAAUGUCUGGGAAACUGCCUGAUGGAGGGGGAUAACUACUGGAAACAGUAGCUAAUACCGCAUAACGUCGCAAGACCAAAGAGGGGGACCUUCGGGCCUCUUGCCUUCAGAUGUGCCCAGAUGGGAUUAGCUAGUAGGUGGGGUAACGGCUCACCUAGGCGACGAUCCCUAGCUGGUCUGAGAGGAUGACCAGCCACACUGGAACUGAGACACGGUCCAGACUCCUACGGGAGGCAGCAGUGGGGAAUAUUGCACAAUGGGCGCAAGCCUGAUGCAGCCAUGCCGCGUGUAUGAAGAAGGCCUUCGGGUUGUAAAGUACUCUCAGCGGGGAGGAAGGUGUUGCGGUUAAUAACCGCAGCAAUUGACGUUACCCGCAGAAGAAGCACCGGCUAACUCCGUGCCAGCAGCCGCGGUAAUACGGAGGGUGCAAGCGUUAAUCGGAAUUACUGGGCGUAAAGCGCACGCAGGCGGUCUGUCAAGUCGGAUGUGAAAUCCCCGGGCUCAACCUGGGAACUGCAUUCGAAACUGGCAGGCUAGAGUCUUGUAGAGGGGGGUAGAAUUCCAGGUGUAGC